CGUCCCUGGAAAUAGCUCCCGCAUGAGACCGUACCCCAAACCGACACAGGUGGACUGGUAGAGCAUACCAAGGCGCUUGAGAGAACGAUGUUGAAGGAACUCGGCAAAAUACCUCCGUAAGUUCGCGAGAAGGAGGCCCGGGUUCAAGGCAACUUGGAUCCGGGGGCACAAACCAGGGGGUGGCGACUGUUUACUAAAAACACAG
RNAcentral lists this ribosomal RNA (205 nucleotides) under Prorocentrum minimum. RNAcentral's name for it is "partial Bacterial large subunit ribosomal RNA". It matches the Rfam family "Bacterial large subunit ribosomal RNA", at positions 1604 to 1818 of the family's 2925-position model. The record is from RNAcentral. Lineage: Eukaryota; Dinophyceae; Prorocentrales; Prorocentraceae.